Molecule: ribosomal RNA, 368 nt
Filed under: Escherichia sp. E4930
Lineage: Bacteria; Pseudomonadati; Pseudomonadota; Gammaproteobacteria; Enterobacterales; Enterobacteriaceae
Description: partial 23S ribosomal RNA
Rfam family: Bacterial large subunit ribosomal RNA
Source: RNAcentral
UGGCUGUUCGCCAUUUAANGUGGUACGCGAGCUGGGUUUAGACGUCGUGAGACAGUUCGGUCCCUAUCUGCCGUGGGCGCUGGAGAACUGAGGGGGGCUGCUCCUAGUACGAGAGGACCGGAGUGGACGCAUCACUGGUGUUCGGGUUGUCAUGCCAAUGGCACUGCCCGGUAGCUAAAUGCGGAAGAGAUAAGUGCUGAAAGCAUCUAAGCACGAAACUUGCCCCGAGAUGAGUUCUCCCUGACUCCUUGAGAGUCCUGAAGGAACGUUGAAGACGACGACGUUGAUAGGCCGGGUGUGUAAGCGCAGCGAUGCGUUGAGCUAACCGGUACUAAUGAACCGUGAGGCUUAACCUUACAACGCCGAAG